CUGUGUUGCUUACCAAUGGAAGGGAAUUUGAUNGAAUUCAUGAANAUAUUCGCCCGGUGCCCUUGCGGUUGUUGGGUGGACGACAAGCUUGCCUCGUGUUCCAAGCAUGCCUUGCUUUGUUGCAUGGCUGUUGUGGCUCAUGGGGUUAAUGCUCGUUCUCUUGGAUGCGGAUUGUGAUGUGUGGGCAAACAAGGGUAAUAACCUCUGUUCGUUCGAAUCACGCAUUUGUCGAACUGACAUGAACGACUGCUGUUCUCGUCUUGGGCUCUAGAGUCUCAUGACUCUAUGAGAUUUCAUGCGAGCAUCGGUGUCGUGAAGGAAUGCUACCUGGUUGAUCCUGCCAGUAGUCAUAUG
Molecule: unclassified non-coding RNA, 354 nt
Filed under: Cupania scrobiculata
Lineage: Eukaryota; Viridiplantae; Streptophyta; Magnoliopsida; Sapindales; Sapindaceae
Description: partial external transcribed spacer
Source: RNAcentral